Molecule: ribosomal RNA, 250 nt
Filed under: uncultured bacterium
Lineage: Bacteria
Description: partial 16S ribosomal RNA
Rfam family: Bacterial small subunit ribosomal RNA
Source: RNAcentral
UACGGAGGGGGCAAGCGUUGUUCGGAAUUACUGGGCGUAAAGGGCGUGUAGGCGGCGGUUUUAGUCAGGCGUGAAAGCCCGGGGCUCAACCUCGGAAUAGCGCUUGAUACUGAACUGCUUGAGACCGGAAGAGGGUAGUGGAAUUCCCAGUGUAGAGGUGAAAUUCGUAGAUAUUGGGAAGAACACCAGUGGCGAAGGCGGCUACCUGGUCCGGAUCUGACGCUGAGGCGCGAAAGCGUGGGGAGCAAAC